CAGCCGCCGCGGGAAUACGUAGGGUGCGAGCGUUAAUCGGAAUUACUGGGCGUAAAGCGUGCGCAGGCGGUUCGUUAAGACAGAUGUGAAAUCCCCGGGCUUAACCUGGGAACUGCAUUUGUGACUGGCGAGCUAGAGUAUGGCAGAGGGGGGUAGAAUUCCACGUGUAGCAGUGAAAUGCGUAGAGAUGUGGAGGAAUACCGAUGGCGAAGGCAGCCCCCUGGGCCAAUACUGACGCUCAUGCACGAAAGCGUGGGGAGCAAACAGGAUUAGAUACCCCGGUAGUCCCUGUCUCUUAUAC
RNAcentral lists this ribosomal RNA (301 nucleotides) under uncultured bacterium. Its description in RNAcentral is "partial 16S ribosomal RNA". It matches the Rfam family "Bacterial small subunit ribosomal RNA", at positions 509 to 807 of the family's 1533-position model. The record is from RNAcentral.